UAGGCGUAAAUGAUGCGAGUUAAGUGUGGGGGCGAUCUACGAGAUGGCCCUGUGCUGUAGGGUAGCCGUUAAACUCGCUGCCUGGGGAGGUACGGUCGCAAGGCUGAAACUUAAAGGAAUUGGCGGGGGGAGGCACCACAACGGGUGGAGCUUGCGGUUUAAUUGGAUUCAACGCCGGAAAUCUUACCGGGACCGACAGCAACAUGAAGGCCAGGCUGAAGACUUUGCCGGAUUAGCUGAGAGGAGGUGCAUGGCGUAGACGUCU
This 265-nucleotide ribosomal RNA is filed under the name uncultured archaeon. Its description in RNAcentral is "partial 16S ribosomal RNA". It matches the Rfam family "Archaeal small subunit ribosomal RNA", at positions 748 to 1009 of the family's 1478-position model. The record is from RNAcentral.